CAGUUAUAGGUCUCUUAACGACAGAGAUACUUUCUGAGAAAUGCAUUGUGAGGUGAUUUUGUCAUUCUGCAAACAUCAUAAAGUGUCCUUACACAAACCUAGGCUAUAUGCUAGAGCCUGUUGGUCCUAGGCUGCAAGCCUGUACUGCAUGUUACUGUACUGAGUGCUGUAGGCAAUUGUAACACUAUGGAUCAUAGCUAUGGUGGAAUGGGACAUGCCUGACAGCUGGAGUCCUCAAGGGCAUGGAUGAGGCCUGUUCCUGUUUUAAUUGCCUCUGUCAACUUGAAAAGCAAAGUUGCCCAUUGUUUUACCUCACAAUGAGUUUACUUGGGAAUAGCCGAAAGAAUUGCAAUUCUGGACGUGCAUGCUGUGGCGAACCAUACGCAAACCUGGAGAAGAAAGGAGGGGGGCUGCUAUUAUAGAGAAAAAGGGGGAGUAGGGAAGGACUGUUCUAAAUGAAAGUCCAUUGGGGAAAAUAACAUUUCAAGCAGGUAACGGCUUCUCAUUGGCUGAGCUGUGGCAUUUCUCAGUGGCCAGGCUGUUGCUGGGUGGGGAGAGAAAUCUGCCUUCAGUAGUAAUGUAGUAUUACCUCCUGUCCAAGAUGCAAGCAUUAGUCUUUUCCUGUUUAGUGUAAUUGAGAAUAUAUGAUAGGGGAUGAGAGCUCACCCUACAGGCCUUCUC
RNAcentral lists this long non-coding RNA (681 nucleotides) under Equus caballus (horse). Its description in RNAcentral is "lncRNA (ENSECAG00000044257.1)". Lineage: Eukaryota; Metazoa; Chordata; Mammalia; Perissodactyla; Equidae. The record is from RNAcentral.